AAAUUCAUACUGGAAAGAAACACUGCACAUGAGAAGAAUGUGGUAAAGCUUUUACUUGGUCCUCAACCCUUACUGUACAAAGGAGAAUUCAUACAGACAGCUCUCCAAAUGCUCCUUUUUUCAAAAUACCCACGUAUCUGAGAAAGAAACAGAGCCACAGAGAAAAAUUACUUGGUCACAGUAGUGGAGCCAGUUUUAAAACACAGGCAACUUUGACUCCAGAGGAAACACUUUAUUACAGUAAAUACCCUCCUAAAACAAAAUAAUUGUCUUCGCCCAUUCUUAGUACAUUUUU
Cebus imitator (Panamanian white-faced capuchin) is the source of this 295-nucleotide long non-coding RNA. RefSeq lists it as uncharacterized. The record is from RefSeq and is a predicted model, not a curated record. The transcript has 3 exons. Lineage: Eukaryota; Metazoa; Chordata; Mammalia; Primates; Cebidae.